AUGGUGCCUGUUUUGUUUCUUUAAUUCAAAAUAAUAAAAUGAUUCACAAGAUCAUCUCUACAUGUGUGUUGUCUUUGGCCCUGUCCCAAAUGGCGCACUUCAUGUAGACUUUCGGUCUCGUGGCCUUAAAUUGCGCGUUCUCGCUUAGUCUACGAGUCCGUAGGGUGUCCCAUCUGUCAUUUUUACGCUUUAAAGUGUGCUCAUCAGCGCCUCCUUUGCCCCCUUGAUGCGGUCUUCAGCGAAGCCCACACUGCAGCAGGCUUCGCGCAGUUUACCGACCCAGAAGUCCUUGCGAAAGGGCAAUCAGACCAAUCAGACGAAGGAAGGGAGGAGUUCACACUGACGGGCAACUUCCCUGCCUAUUUCCGGUGUGAUGCUCGAGUCUGUCCCAAAAUACGACUCCGGUGCACCCACGUGGACUCGCAUCAAGGGUCCCUAAAGUCUGGACUACGUGAUGUCAUCAAAGUGUGGACUCUGAGGAGGACCACAAGUCCGGAGUGUGCCAUUUGGGACAGGGCCUUUAUUUCCAUGUGCAACUCUUACUCGCCUUCUGUGCCUUGCACUUAUUUAACAUGUAACUAUGCACAGUGACAUCUAGUGGUCACAAUCACUUACUAUCAUUACAGUGCCCGUGUGUUUUGCCUCCACAGAAUUGGUGAAGCAUUAAAGUGCAGUCUGUUGACCAUCUUCCUGUAUUUGGGCUUGAUGAAACUGUGCAUGACCUUUCUGCUCAUGAAGACCCUACUGACGAGCCCUUGCCCAGUGUUGAGUUGCCUAGUUACCCAGACCCUUUGAAGGUCCAAUGUUUGGACGAUAUCAUCUGUGUCCAGGCGGCAGUGUUGUAUGAGACCUGCUUGAGGCAGCUUGUCACACUGUUGAAGUUGCCGGUGGACAGAUGUACAGGUGGGGAACAAUUAUGGAAAGGUUUCCCUAUUGUUUAAAUACAUGAACAUGGGCAUGGUGAACCAAAAAACAUUUUGCACAAUCCAAGACACAUACUGUGUUGGCGCAGUCAAGGAAUAGUGGGAAGAAAGGAAUUUCGAGGCCAUCUGUCGCCUUCAAGGUGAAACGUUGUGGUGCUAGGGGAUGGCAGAAAUGAUUCACCAGGGCACUGUGCUCAGUACUGCAACUACACUACAAUGGAGCUUGACACCAAAGAAAACAAUCACGUAGCCACAAUAGACAAGCUGCAGACAUCGUGGAACUCCAACAUCAUGGAGGAGGUGGCAUUUAUCCAGACUGUGGACAAGCUUUCCAAAAAGAUAAAGCUGGUGAAGAUCUGCACAGAUGCACAUAUCCAGAAUGGAGCCCUUAUAAACCCAGACAAAGGCAAAUACACAGAACUUGGGAUUCAUCACAGUCUGGACAUGUGGCACGGUGCUAAAAAACUUGUAGCUGUAAGUGUAAUGAGUGGGUCAAGUUACUUUAUAUACAUCUCUAAAUAGACUAUACAUUAGGUGUGUUUUCACAACAUUUUAUUUCUUGGAUAAUAAAUGUCUUAUGUAUAUAAAAAUAUAAAUAUAUAAAAAAUAUAAUUAUUUACUUGAGUAAGAGUAAAAAAGUAUUAGAUGAAAAAAACUACUCAAGUACUCGUUACUUCCGAUCUGAUAGAAAAGUAAAAACACUGAAGUUCUUGGGGGGUUUUCACAAACCUCUUCUUGAAAGUCUCAUUGUUCUGACUAUAUACGUAAAACUUUUUUUUCUCAAAAAAGAUAAAGCAAGGCAGCCUAUCUCAGUCCUGCAAUGGGUACAUUAACAUAACAUAACCUGUCAUUUAAGAAGAAAUCUCAAACACACAGAUGUUUUUCUAACGGUUAACUGUAUUAAUUUUCAUGUUUACAACACAAACUUGUCAGCAUCUGCCUUUAAACAAGCAAACAGUAAACAAAAAAGAAUGUGUGUGUCUGUUUGUUGUCAUGUUUUAUAUAAUAUAAACAGGAGCUUGAUAAAAAAAGAGAUCAUUUUAGAAUUUCAUAUGAAACUUAUCUGUUUUUGCAAAUCAACUCUACAUUUAUUAUAAUAUAUAAAACAUGUUUAUUUCAAAAUAUACUUUAUUCUUUUAUUUCUAUAAGUAUAUACAUUCUUUACAAAGGAUUUAAAUAAAAUGCAAGACGUUGUUACAUUAUGCUGUUCAGUUUGUUAAGUUUUGGGGAAAUGAUAUGGAAAUGUGCAGAUGUGAACGUGUGUUGUUUGUAAGGUUUACAGGAUUUGUCAUUGCUUGCACAAAAAGUGCAUAUGACAAAAACACUCGGGACAGUGUGUGAGAUGACCAUUAAUAGUGUUCAAAUAGACAUUACUGGGACACUUACCGCUAUGUGUUGUUUCAGGUUGGAGCUUGAAUUCCUGUUCACUGAAAUGUCAGUUUGUUUUGGUGAACAAAGCAUGCAUCGCAUUAUGAAACUAUUCUUUUUGACCUCUUGGAGUGAAAACAUAGACCGAACUUGAGGCCACGCAUGAUCUGCCUCAGAUAUCUAUGCGCACCAAAGGGUGAUGUUUUGCCACCUCUCACGACGCACGCAGCCUCUCUAACAUCUUGAGAGACUUUCGAACAAGCCCUAUAAACUUUUUUAAAUAUAUAUAUAUUCAUUAAUUAUUACCAUUUGACCAUUUGAAUGUAGUGAAGUACAAGUAAAUUUUUUUUUACUAGAAAUGUACUUGAGUAAGAGUAAAAGUUCCUAUCGUUAAAUUUCCUUUAUAGUUACCCCAAAAAUUUACCAAAGUAAAUGUAAUUCGUUACUUCCCACCUCUGGUACUGGAUGGCACAUAUAUCUGAAGGAGCGGGAAGGCCUGUGAUCAGACGCCGAGGUUGCUUUUUUCCUUCUCGAUAGGUGAGUAACGUUGGUUUUGCAUUGUUUCACAGAACAUCGUAUUUGCUUGUUUGUUUAUCUGCAAUCGUAUUGUUCUUACCUUCAACUAUGACAAAGUCACAUUUAUUUCCACACCCUAUAAGCAUGGUGCGUCUAAACCUCCUCCGUUAACUGUUUCAAGCGUCAUCUCUCUGACAAGUAAGAUUAUUUGCUUAUGUACUUUGUUUACUAUUUAUAUAACCAUCUCAUCAUAAUUGUAAUAUGUUCAUUAGUUAGUCGGUCUGUCAUGAUCAUGCUAUCGAUUUGUUCACUGGAACCGUUUGUGUUUUUCCGAUGGAAGAGAUGUGUUUUUCAUAGAAGGCGUAGAGGAGCUUGAUGAUACCACCCUGUCUGCCUCUGAAGUGAUGGAAGCAAGGUGUUUUACUAAAGAAAAAGACAUGUCCUCGUGGUCACAGUGUGUGGAAGUGGACUUCCUGCAUGGUUUGGGAUGAAUGCAGGAGACUUUCUUCUCUCUUCAAAUAUCCUUUAUCAGGCAACAACUAUGCAAAAGUUGCACUGCUGUUCAAAUUCAUGAACAUGACAAUGGUGAUGGCCGGAUGGACAGUCAAGGAUUUUGUGCUCAGUAUUGCACUUAUACAGCCAUGGAUAAUACAAAGAAAAUCAUCUAAAUAACAAACAUUGACAAGAGGGAGGCUGCUUGAAAUUCGGUUAUCAUGAAAAAGGAAGGUUUUCUCAGAACGUUUCAUACCCUACAACGCAAGGCCAAGAUGACGGAUGCACAAACCCAGUUUUCAGCACUUUACAAUCCAGACAAAGAACAAUUGGGAGAUGCAGGAGUACAUCAUUACCUCAAUGUGUGGCAUGGUGCCAAAAACCUCUCUAAACGAAUACUCGCAGGAAGUAAUGAGACGAUAAAAAAACUGUUGAUUUUGGAUUGUUUUUGUAGUAUUGUUUGAGGUUUACUUUUAGGCAAGUCAGCAGAAGCAGCGCUCAAUCUAUUGCAGUGGAGACAUCUGCAAUCACUGCUGAUACUGCUGUAAGAUGGCUGACAACUAUGAUGAAUUUUUUGACAUGUGGAUUGGUCUCCUCCCUCAUGUUACUGGUGAGCAUUCAUGAGCACUUGGUAGCUGCCAUCAUGGUCCCCUUACUGAGACCAGGGAGAGGAACUGGAUUGAGUCUAAUUCUAUAGCACAUCAAAAGCUUACAGAAUUAAUUCUGGAUGCACGAUGGCUCAAGGACAUACCCAAGUAUCUGCAUUUCAGAUCAACUGCAGAACUUAAGUCAUUCCACAAUGAUGUAUGCCAGCAAACGCUUCUGCUUUACGGCCGCUGUGUACAAUGUGUAUGUAAUUUUACAUUUACAUAUGAUUUACUUGUCAAUAAAUAACACAAACAGGCCCAUGUUUACAUAUAUUUUACUUCUAUAAAUAAUCUUAUGAACAUUUUAACAACUUUACUUCUAUAAAUACUCUUAAUUUUAACAAAAGUGCAGUGGUAUUGAAGGGAUAUGUAAAUAAAAAUGUUUGUCUACACCCUGCUUGGAAUGGCACUUCCUCUCAAUAUCAGUUGGCAUCUCCCUGCAUCUCUGGCAGACACACCAGGUUGGUUGGCCUAGGGUAGGGUGG
This is a non-coding RNA of Misgurnus anguillicaudatus (oriental weatherfish), 4431 nucleotides long. The record is from RefSeq and is a predicted model, not a curated record. NCBI's taxonomy places the organism in Eukaryota, Metazoa, Chordata, Actinopteri, Cypriniformes, Cobitidae.